This 461-nucleotide long non-coding RNA is filed under the name Panax ginseng (ginseng). RNAcentral's name for it is "long non-coding RNA (PGIN_LNC010407)". Lineage: Eukaryota; Viridiplantae; Streptophyta; Magnoliopsida; Apiales; Araliaceae. The record is from RNAcentral.
GUGGAGAACCGAGUUCGGGUUUCAAGUACCCGGAUUUGGGGUCGCCACAGGUUGGUAUCAAAGCUGUAGGUUAUAAACGUUAGGAAUGCGAAACCUGGGUUAUAACCUUAGUAGAAUGGAUAACGAAAGUUAAGAUAAAUAUUCAAUGGAUGAAGAACUCUGGUGAAGAAUUAUAACCUUAGUAGAAUGGAGGACGAAAGUUAAGAUAGAUAUUCAGUGAACCAGGAGACGAAGUACUCUUGUGAGAAGUUAUAGGAUAUGAUGAGUUAAAGAGAUUCAUCAAGUUUUAGUUAGACUAAAUAAAAUAUUCCUUCAUUUUAUCGAUGAAUAUAUUUUAUUUUGGUACUAAUGUUGUCUCGUUUAUUGUGGUCAUAUAAUGGAUGACGAAAGUCAAGAUAGUAAUUCCUUGACCUAAGAGACGAUGGACUCUAGCGAGGAGUACACAGACAGUGAGAUGAUAA